RNAcentral lists this transfer RNA (67 nucleotides) under Schedorhinotermes sp. 9 MW-2019. Its description in RNAcentral is "tRNA-Leu". Lineage: Eukaryota; Metazoa; Arthropoda; Insecta; Blattodea; Rhinotermitidae. The record is from RNAcentral.
UCUAAUGUGGCAGAUAAGUGCGGUGGAUUUAAGCUCCACAAAUAAAGUAUCUAAACUUUCUUUAGAA